This 456-nucleotide long non-coding RNA is filed under the name Pan troglodytes (chimpanzee). Its description in RNAcentral is "long non-coding RNA NONPTRT004078". Lineage: Eukaryota; Metazoa; Chordata; Mammalia; Primates; Hominidae. The record is from RNAcentral.
CAGGGAUUAUCAUCUCAGUUAAGACACGUUCAGAACGGCAACUCUUAAGGUUAAAACAGAUGAAUGUACAAUUGGCCGCCAAGAUUCAACACCUUGAGUUCAGCUGCUCUGAGAAGGAACAAGAAAUUGAAAGACUUAACAAACUAUUGCGACAGCAUGGACUUCUUGGUGAAGUGAACUAGACCCGGACCAGCUCCCCUCAAAAAGAAGACACUGCUUCAUGGGCCUGUGCUGUCACGAGAGGAACAGCUGCCCCUCCUGGGCCGCUUGGUGAGAGGUUUGGUUUGAUACCUCUGCCUCCCUCCUGCCAGCAUGGAUUCUGGGUGGACACAGCCUUGUGGAAGGUCCAGUACCACCAAGAGCUGCCCAUCCACUCCCACCCCACACUGUAUCAAAUGUAUCACAUUUUCUCAUGUUGAACACUUUAGCCUUAAUUGAAAAUGAGCAACAAAGCUG